UACGAAGGGGGCUAGCGUUGCCCGGAAUCACUGGGCGUAAAGGGCGCGUAGGCGGCGUUUUAAGUCGGGGGUGAAAGCCUGUGGCUCAACCACAGAAUGGUCUUCGAUACUGGGACGCUUGAGUAUGGUAGAGGUUGGUGGAACUGCGAGUGUAGAGGUGAAAUUCGUAGAUAUUCGCAAGAACACCGGUGGCGAAGGCGGCCAACUGGACCAUUACUGACGCUGAGGCGCGAAAACGUGGGGAGCAAACAGG
This 253-nucleotide ribosomal RNA is filed under the name uncultured bacterium. Its description in RNAcentral is "partial 16S ribosomal RNA". It matches the Rfam family "Bacterial small subunit ribosomal RNA", at positions 524 to 776 of the family's 1533-position model. The record is from RNAcentral.